Molecule: ribosomal RNA, 447 nt
Filed under: uncultured bacterium
Lineage: Bacteria
Description: partial 16S ribosomal RNA
Rfam family: Bacterial small subunit ribosomal RNA
Source: RNAcentral
AACGAACGCUGGCGGCAGGCUUAACACAUGCAAGUCGAACGCCCCGCAAGGGGAGUGGCAGACGGGUGAGUAACGCGUGGGAACGUGCCCUAAGGUACGGAACAACUCCGGGAAACUGGAGCUAAUACCGUAUGUGACCGAGAGGUGAAAGAUUCAUCGCCUUAGGAUCGGACCGCGUCAGAUUAGCUAGUUGGUGGGGUAAUGGCCUACCAAGGCGACGAACUGUAGCUGUUCUGAGAGGAAGAUCAGCCACACUGGGACUGAGACACGGCCCAGACUCCUACGGGAGGCAGCAGUGGGGAAUCUUGGACAAUGGGCGCAAGCCUGAUCCAGCCAUGCCGCGUGGAUGAUGAAGGCCCUAGGGUUGUAAAAUCCUUUCGCCGAGGACGAUAAUGACGGUACUCGGAGAAGAAGCUCCGGCUAACUUCGUGCCAGCAGCCGCGGUAA